This 250-nucleotide ribosomal RNA is filed under the name uncultured prokaryote. Its description in RNAcentral is "partial 16S ribosomal RNA". It matches the Rfam family "Bacterial small subunit ribosomal RNA", at positions 524 to 773 of the family's 1533-position model. The record is from RNAcentral.
UACGGAGGGUGCGGGCGUUAUCCGGAAUUAUUAGGUUUAAAGGGUGCGCAGGCGGACUGGUAAGUCGGCGGUGAAAUACCGGGGCCCAACCCCGGGGCUGCCAUCGAUACUGCCGGUCUUGAGUGCGGGCGAGGAAGGCGGAAUGUGGAGUGUAGCGGUGAAAUGCUUAGAUAUUCCACAGAACACCGAUUGCGAAGGCAGCCUUCCAGCGCGCUACUGACGCUCAGGCACGAAAGCGCGGGUAGCGAAC